Molecule: unclassified non-coding RNA, 320 nt
Organism: Callithrix jacchus (white-tufted-ear marmoset)
Lineage: Eukaryota; Metazoa; Chordata; Mammalia; Primates; Cebidae
Rfam family: Metazoan signal recognition particle RNA
About the family: The signal recognition particle (SRP) is a universally conserved ribonucleoprotein.
Source: Ensembl
UCUGGGUGCAGUGGUAGGUGCCUGCAGUCCCAGCUACUCGGGAGGCUGAGAUAGGGAGAUUGCUUGAGCCCAGGAGUUCUGGGCUAUAAUUCACUAUGCUGAUUAAGUGUCUGCACUAAGUUUGGCAUCAAUAUGGUGAUCUCCCAGGAGCAAGGGACCACCAGGUAGCCUAAGGAGGGGUGAACCAACCCAGGUAGAAUAUAGAGCAGGUCAAAACUCCUGUGCUGGCUGGGCGCCAUGGCUCACACCUGUAAUCCCAGCACUUUGGGAGGCUGAGGAGGGCAGAUCAUCCUAGCCAAUAUGGUGAAAUCCCAUCUCUA